GACACACUAUCAUUAACUGAAUCCAUAGGUUAAUGAGGCGAACCGGGGGAACUGAAACAUCUAAGUACCCCGAGGAAAAGAAAUCAACCGAGAUUCCCCCAGUAGCGGCGAGCGAACGGGGAGCAGCCCAGAGCCUGAAUCAGUAUGUGUGUUAGUGGAAGCGUCUGGAAAGGCGCGCGAUACAGGGUGACAGCCCCGUACACAAAAAUGCACAUGCUGUGAGCUCGAUGAGUAGGGCGGGACACGUGGUAUCCUGUCUGAAUAUGGGGGGACCAUCCUCCAAGGCUAAAUACUCCUGACUGACCGAUAGUGAACCAGUACCGUGAGGGAAAGGCGAAAAGAACCCCGGCGAGGGGAGUGAAAAAGAACCUGAAACCGUGUACGUACAAGCAGUGGGAGCACGCUUAGGCGUGUGACUGCGUACCUUUUGUAUAAUGGGUCAGCGACUUAUAUUCUGUAGCAAGGUUAACCGAAUAGGGGAGCCGAAGGGAAACCGAGUCUUAACUGGGCGUUAAGUUGCAGGGUAUAGACCCGAAACCCGGUGAUCUAGCCAUGGGCAGGUUGAAGGUUGGGUAACACUAACUGGAGGACCGAACCGACUAAUGUUGAAAAAUUAGCGGAUGACUUGUGGCUGGGGGUGAAAGGCCAAUCAAACCGGGAGAUAGCUGGUUCUCCCCGAAAGCUAUUUAGGUAGCGCCUCGUGAAUUCAUCUCCGGGGGUAGAGCACUGUUUCGGCAAGGGGGUCAUCCCGACUUACCAACCCGAUGCAAACUGCGAAUACCGGAGAAUGUUAUCACGGGAGACACACGGCGGGUGCUAACGUCCGUCGUGAAGAGGGAAACAACCCAGACCGCCAGCUAAGGUCCCAAAGUCAUGGUUAAGUGGGAAACGAUGUGGGAAGGCCCAGACAGCCAGGAUGUUGGCUUAGAAGCAGCCAUCAUUUAAAGAAAGCGUAAUAGCUCACUGGUCGAGUCGGCCUGCGCGGAAGAUGUAACGGGGCUAAACCAUGCAC
Molecule: ribosomal RNA, 1012 nt
Filed under: Escherichia coli
Lineage: Bacteria; Pseudomonadati; Pseudomonadota; Gammaproteobacteria; Enterobacterales; Enterobacteriaceae
Description: partial 23S ribosomal RNA
Rfam family: Bacterial large subunit ribosomal RNA
Source: RNAcentral